RNAcentral lists this small RNA (29 nucleotides) under Bombyx mori (domestic silkworm). RNAcentral's name for it is "piRNA piR-bmo-2129352". Lineage: Eukaryota; Metazoa; Arthropoda; Insecta; Lepidoptera; Bombycidae. The record is from RNAcentral.
UAAGCAGUGGUCUUCUUAUGGUGGAAUCC